This 498-nucleotide ribosomal RNA is filed under the name uncultured bacterium. Its description in RNAcentral is "partial 16S ribosomal RNA". It matches the Rfam family "Bacterial small subunit ribosomal RNA", at positions 29 to 523 of the family's 1533-position model. The record is from RNAcentral.
AUUGAACGCUGGCGGCAUGCCUUACACAUGCAAGUCGAACGGUAACGCGGGGCAACCUGGCGACGAGUGGCGAACGGGUGAGUAAUGUAUCGGAGCGUGCCCAGUUGUGGGGGAUAACUGCUCGAAAGAGCAGCUAAUACCGCAUACGACCUGAGGGUGAAAGCGGGGGAUCGCAAGACCUCGCGCAGUUGGAGCGGCCGAUAUCAGAUUAGGUAGUUGGUGGGGUAAAGGCUCACCAAGCCAACGAUCUGUAGCUGGUCUGAGAGGACGACCAGCCAGACUGGGACUGAGACACGGCCCAGACGCCUACGGGAGGCAGCAGUGGGGAAUUUUGGACAAUGGGCGCAAGCCUGAUCCAGCCAUGCCGCGUGCGGGAAGAAGGCCUUCGGGUUGUAAACCGCUUUUGUCAGGGAAGAAAAGACUCCUGUUAAUACCGGGGGUUCAUGACGGUACCUGAAGAAUAAGCACCGGCUAACUACGUGCCAGCAGCCGCAGUAA